UGGGGAAUUUUGGACAAUGGGCGAAAGCCUGAUCCAGCAAUGCCGCGUGUGUGAAGAAGGCCUUCGGGUUGUAAAGCACUUUUGUCCGGAAAGAAAUCCUUGGCUCUAAUACAGUCGGGGGAUGACGGUACCGGAAGAAUAAGCACCGGCUAACUACGUGCCAGCAGCCGCGGUAAUACGUAGGGUGCAAGCGUUAAUCGGAAUUACUGGGCGUAAAGCGUGCGCAGGCGGUUUGCUAAGACCGAUGUGAAAUCCCCGGGCUCAACCUGGGAACUGCAUUGGUGACUGGCAGGCUAGAGUAUGGCAGAGGGGGGUAGAAUUCCACGUGUAGCAGUGAAAUGCGUAGAGAUGUGGAGGAAUACCGAUGGCGAAGGCAGCCCCCUGGGCCAAUACUGACGCUCAUGCACGAAAGCGUGGGGAGCAAACAGGAUUAGAUACCCUGGUAGUCCACGCCCUAAACGAUGUCAACUAGUUGUUGGGGAUUCAUUUCCUUAGUAACGUAGCUAACGCGUGAAGUUGACCGCCUGGGGAGUACGGUCGCAAGAUUAAAACUCAAAUGGAAUUGACGGGGUCAUAGCU
This 579-nucleotide ribosomal RNA is filed under the name uncultured bacterium. RNAcentral describes it as "partial 16S ribosomal RNA". It matches the Rfam family "Bacterial small subunit ribosomal RNA", at positions 355 to 926 of the family's 1533-position model. The record is from RNAcentral.